RNAcentral lists this ribosomal RNA (197 nucleotides) under Butyrivibrio fibrisolvens. RNAcentral describes it as "partial 16S ribosomal RNA". It matches the Rfam family "Bacterial small subunit ribosomal RNA", at positions 52 to 230 of the family's 1533-position model. Lineage: Bacteria; Bacillati; Bacillota; Clostridia; Lachnospirales; Lachnospiraceae. The record is from RNAcentral.
CACAUNCAAGUCGAACGAAGCAAUUUAUUACGAUCCUUUCGGGGUGACGAUUUAUUGACUGAGUGGCGGACGGGUGAGUAACGCGUGGGUAACCUACCUUAUACAGGGGGAUAACAGUUGGAAACGACUGCUAAUACCGCAUAAGCGCACAGCUUUGCAUGAAGCGGUGUGAAAAGAUUUAUCGGUAUAAGAUGGAC